This 400-nucleotide unclassified non-coding RNA is filed under the name soil metagenome. RNAcentral describes it as "partial contains 5.8S ribosomal RNA, internal transcribed spacer 2, and large subunit ribosomal RNA". The stretch from base 1 to 120 matches the Rfam family "5.8S ribosomal RNA", at positions 35 to 154 of the family's 154-position model. The record is from RNAcentral.
GAUGAAGAACGUAGCGAAAUGCGAUACUUGGUGUGAAUUGCAGAAUCCCAUGAACCAUCGAGUCUUUGAACGCAAGUUGCGCCCGAAGCCUCGGCUAAGGGCACGUCUGCCUGGGCGUCACGCAUCGCGUCUCCCCCAAACCGCCAAGGCGGAGGGGAAGGAAGAUGGCUUCCCGUGCCUCACCCGGGCGCGGUUGGCCUGAAUUUGGAGCCCGCGGCACUUAGCUCUCGCGGCGAUAGGUGGUGAACAAGGCCUUGGCCGUGCAAACAACCCGCUGCGAAGCGCUAUGUCACGUGCGCUCGUCGGACCCUUUGAAGUUGCCUUUGGUGACUUAAAACCUUUGCGACCCCAGGUCAGGCGGGGCUACCCGCUGAAUUUAAGCAUAUCAAUAAGCGGAGGA